Molecule: signal recognition particle RNA, 285 nt
Filed under: Pan paniscus (pygmy chimpanzee)
Lineage: Eukaryota; Metazoa; Chordata; Mammalia; Primates; Hominidae
Description: Metazoan signal recognition particle RNA (ENSPPAG00000013560.1)
Rfam family: Metazoan signal recognition particle RNA
About the family: The signal recognition particle (SRP) is a universally conserved ribonucleoprotein. It is involved in the co-translational targeting of proteins to membranes.
Source: RNAcentral
GCUGGGUGUGGUGGCGCGUGCCUGUUGUCCCAGCUACUUGGGAGGCUGAGGCGGGAGGACCACUUGAGCCCAGGAGUUCUGGGCAGUAGUGCGCUGUGCUGAUCUGGUGUCUGCACUAACUUUGGCAUCGAUAUGGUGACCUCCCAGGAGCAGAAGACCAGCAGGUUGCCUAAGGAGGGGUGAACCAGCCCCAGUCAGAAACAGAGCAGAUCAAAACUCCUGUACUGAUCAGUAGUGGGAUCACGCCUGUGAAUAGCCUGGGUAACAUAGCCACGUCCCAUCUCU